Molecule: long non-coding RNA, 303 nt
Filed under: Bos indicus x Bos taurus (hybrid cattle)
Lineage: Eukaryota; Metazoa; Chordata; Mammalia; Artiodactyla; Bovidae
Description: lncRNA (ENSBIXG00005018814.1)
Source: RNAcentral
UGACCUUUUAAAUAGUUUAGAAAUCUAAUGUUUAUGUUACAUCAAAUUUUUCAUAGACCUCACCUCUGAAGACACAGAACUUCCUGCCAGCUCCCGAAACACCCUUGGAAGUGGUGGGCAUCAUGACUCACGGUCAGAUGAGGAAGGAGGAGAUGAGAGAACAUGUGGAAUGAAGGAUGGAAAGGAGAACCAACAAGAUGAAGGGAACUGGUAUUAGAAAAUCCUGGAGCAAGCAAAUGAGCCACCAGGAAAAAAAGUCCUACAGGCCCUUACAUGUGUCUCCCUGCUGCUGCUGCUGCUGCU